Entelurus aequoreus (snake pipefish) is the source of this 3615-nucleotide long non-coding RNA. RefSeq lists it as uncharacterized. The transcript has 3 exons. Lineage: Eukaryota; Metazoa; Chordata; Actinopteri; Syngnathiformes; Syngnathidae. The record is from RefSeq and is a predicted model, not a curated record.
GCAUGUGUUAUAAUGUUAAGAUUUCAUCAUUGAUAUAUAAACUAUUAGACUGCGUGGUCGGUAGUAGUGGCUUUCAGUAGGCCUUUAAGGCUCGGUAUUCCCUACCACGUACAACUGCUCAAGCCAGAGGUUUCUGAAAGCUUCGUUUUUAAAGGACAAAAACCUUAUGGAUGAUAUGCUAAAAUGCAUCGACAAAUAUGGAUUUGUGUGGACAUGGCCUUAAACACCAGUAUAAUGCAGUUGAUAAAACAACUAAAUAUACUAUUUUUGUCAAACUAAUGUUGUAUGUUGCUGGGCAGCUUUUGCAUUGACUUUGUUGUGUUUGUAUUAUUUACCAUGGCUUUAAAUGUGUGUAAUUACUUCUGAACAAGUAUAAGAGGCUAUGCACACCUAUGCUGCCAUUUUAUUUCAAAUAUGUUUUCUCGUUAAAGGAUUUGUUAGUUUUUUAACUGCGCUGCAUUAGUAAUUGUAUUGUUUUAUCUUAACAAUGUGUUUUUGUUUGACAUUAAAAAUGGCAUCUUAAAUAUUUUCCACUGUACAUACAGUGGAACCUCAACUGUCGAACGCCUUACAGCCCGUAAAAUUUGGUGUUCGACCAAAGUUCCAGUGAUUAAAAUGUCACUUUUAAUAAUGCAUGACGUCAUCACAUCACGUGACCCAUUAGUGCACCUCACUAGACCUCAUCUCAGCCAUCAUCAAAGGAUUAACUCUGCGUGUGUGUUGUGUUUGUUCUUUGGAUGUUUGCGACACUUUUUUCCUGAAAGAAGGACCAUUCCCAACAAGGGGUGUUAAGAGAAGAGCGUGAGAAGAAGAAAAAGAAGAUAAUGCACUGGGAGUUGAAAGCAGAAAGACUCUUGCGACGUCCAAGUACUUUUGUCCAGCGUUACACAGUUUUUCCGUUGCCAUGGAAGAUGAUCGCCAGUAGCCAUGAAGUGCUGCUUCUGUUAAGAGAUGUUUAGUGCCGCCACUGGUUUGAUUUCGGCGAGUUUUCUACUACUUCCUGUUUUUGUUCCCAUUCUGGCUGGCUUGAUUGGACCCUCCGCCAGUAUCAAGCAGCAUUUUGUUUACAAAUAACUUUGAUUUUGAUAAUUCUGUGACUGGUGUUGUGCAUUUGAGUCUGUUUGAGGCACUGACUGCUACAUUAGCUCCCCAUUCUAGCUGUUGACUGGCUAACUGCGAGUGUGUGUGUGUGUGUGUGUGUUUAUGUUUCAACCUUUUUCAUUAAAAUAGUGGAUGAUUUCAUUUUAUACGUGUAAUGUUACAAAAUUAGAUGCAUCAGCGACACCCUUCCUCAUUCGUCAUUAAGCUUAAGAGAGUGUUUACAGUGUUGUUUAUUUGACUUAUGCUCAUACUUGUAUGACAGUUAAUAAUGUUAAAAUGUAACUUAAAACAUUGUCUGUACAGUUAAUAAAGGACUUAAGAUUGCCACGUUUUGGAGUCUGGAACAAAUUAUUCAAACAUUUUGGAAAAUUUUGUCUGAAAACCCGAACAAAACGGAGAUUGACCAGCGUCACAAAACGGAUUCUGUUCGACUGUGGAGGUUCCACUGUAAUAGAACCCUGUGGUACACUAUCAAUCUUUACGAUCUGUGUUUGUCUCUAAUAGUCCGUCCCUCCUUUUAUCCCUCAAAGCUGUCUUCCCCCUUAUGUUGCUCUUCUGAUAUCACCCCUUCCUGUCUCAUUUCCCCCUCAGAGUAUUCAGACCAGCCAAUAGACGUCAAACAGAUAAGAUGGCAGCUGAGGACAAAGGAAAAGGAAAUGAGGCAGACAUGGAACAUGGGAGGAAACACGAAGACUGUGCAGGCCCAGCGAACACUAGUCCUACCCAGCAGUCUGCUGCUGUCAUACAAGAGAAGCAGCCUUCCACCAACGGACCGGCCUAACGACGCGGCAAAGUGAAACAAACUGGCUCAAAGGCGGACCAUUCAACAAACAGCCAUGCAUUCUUUGAAUCCUCUUAGCCCCCGUCAAGAUUUUUUUUCUAUGUGUUUAGAGAGGUUGAGCUCAAACGGUCCCAGAUAGUCUGCCAUGAACUUCCAUUCACUGAACUGCACAUCUAAAGACAAAUAACAUAUUAAUGGUGGGGAAAAAACGUUGUCAAGAGUGUGGCAAAUUCUGAAUUGAAUCCGAUCCUGGUCCUGUAUUAAACACAGCUUUAGAGCGUUUGACUGUUGAUAGCAAAUAAAUCACAAAACUAUAGUGGCCAUCUUUACUAUUGAGCGUUUUAAUUGACAUGCCAUGCAAACAUGUGGUCCAGACUUGUUUUGAACACACAUUUUGUCCAUAGCAAACCGGCCGUAUCGCCACUUCCUCCUUCGAGCUUUGACGGAUUCCUCUACUUUGUGUGUUUUUGCCUGUGCGUAGAUGAUGAUGACGGUGUGUGUGUGUGUGUGCGUGUGUGUGUGUGUGUGUGAGCUCUGUCUGACAUGCAGAGUGUAAUCUCAGGUCAAAGAAGAGGUAUGCAGAUAAAAGGAAAGCACACCUGUGUAUCACACACAUACACAGUUCAUUUACACACGUAUAUGUACACACACACACAGACACACAAAUAUACAUAUACAUGCUUUCAAAAUGAUUAAAAACUCCAAAAAGACACAGAUGUGCAUGUGCCCCAUCCUUCAAGCUGUGUCAAUGUAAUUGUGAAAUUUGCACCUGUAUUAGGAUGUGGCUACUCUUGGUAAUAUACAUGUAUACAGUAAUAUAUAUAUAUAUAUAUAUAUACACACACACACAAACACCAUAUCUAUUUUUUAAACAAAUCCAAUGUCUGAAAAGUUGUUUAGAAUAUGUGUGUUGUGUUGAAAUGAGGCAAUAAUGAAGUUUUGGUCAAUAUCCCAGCAUCGGUUCCUGAGGAUUUUGUUGUGUGCUAAUCAGUUUUAGCUGAUUAGGCCAUCUGCUGAAUCAGGGAGAAAGUCAAUAAAGUUAAUUGAAGCUUUCUGAGCACAAAGAUUGGUCAAGUUGCCUUCUGAGAGGAAACACACAUUUAUGUUAGCGACUUGUCAUCUCUUGCAAAGUUACUGUUAAUUGGCAUUUUCUUAAGAUGUUAUUGUAGUAUUUACACUUUGUGAAAGAGAAAAAUGACGGAUAUUACAUGACUAAAGAUCAGGAAAAUGAUUAUAUAUUUGGGUUAAACCUAACCUGCAGUGCAAGUGGCAAGUUUAUUUAUCCUUCCACUUGCCUCUCAUCCUGUUUCAGAGGAGAAGCGGUGACUUGAGUUCAAUAUUUGCCUAUCUGUGGAACUAUUUUCAUAGAUUUAGAGAAUUUCACAGGCACUUUUUGAAGAAAUAAGCACUUCCUGGCUUGAUUUGAAUGUCAUGUAUUUGUCUCACUCAUGUUCCCUUUUUGCAAGUCUUCCCAUCAGGUUUUUGUUUAAGGCUUCCAUAGUUUUUUUCAAUACACGUGACAUCGGUUCAUGUUAUAUUGGCUUUGUUGUUUCACAAAGUAAUCAGGGUAUGAGGCGGAAAACAGGGCUGUUUCAUGAGUGAAUGCAGUACAGGCCAAAAGUUUGGACACACCUCAUUCAAUGAGUUUUCUUUGUUUUCAUGACUAUUUACAUUGUAGAUUGUCACAUCAAAACUAUGAAUGAACACAUGUGGAGUUAUGUACUUAACAAAAA